GGUUGCGGCCAUAUCUACCAGAAAGCACCGUUUCCCGUCCGAUCAACUGUAGUUAAGCUGGUAAGAGCCUGACCGAGUAG
Molecule: ribosomal RNA, 80 nt
Filed under: Enterococcus hirae
Lineage: Bacteria; Bacillati; Bacillota; Bacilli; Lactobacillales; Enterococcaceae
Also listed under: 1 other name
Source: RNAcentral